Peromyscus californicus insignis is the source of this 1080-nucleotide long non-coding RNA. RefSeq lists it as uncharacterized. The transcript has 3 exons. Lineage: Eukaryota; Metazoa; Chordata; Mammalia; Rodentia; Cricetidae. The record is from RefSeq and is a predicted model, not a curated record.
GCUGACCGGAGUGGUUGUCAAGGGUGAUGGACCCGGAUGCAGCUGUCCAGAGCGAGCCUUCAGACAAUCGUUUGCCUUGUUUUUCCGCCCCUGCCUAGGCUAUGAUGCUUGUCUCCAUUCCUCUCCCUCCUUCUAGUCCUUCUGCUCAAGCUGCAGGGUGGGUGGGGAGAGGCCUUGGGGAUUGAGGCGGCGUCACAGAUGGGUAUCUCCAGCAGGACAAGCCAGCGCCCCACCACCCAGCUUCCUUGGUAGAUGGGCACAGAGAAAGGGACCAGAGGAGGAAAGCGGAGUGCAGAGACUCGUUGUGGGUCAUCUAGGAGACUGCCCGGUUCUUAAGGUUGCUGGCCGGAGCUUCAGGGCACUUGGACCAAGUUGCCACUCGGAAGGAGGACAUUGGACUUCUGCUCAGUUUCACAGCAGCUACCACAGAGUAACCAGGCUGUCUCUGUCGUACAUUCCUGCCAUGAUACACCAAGCCCUGCAGGCCCAAGCGACAGGGCCCAGUGACCAUGGACCAGAGCUUCUGAAACUAGGAACCAAAUCCUUCUUCUUCAUAAGCUAAUUUAUGUCAGGUAUUUUAUCACAGCGAUUGAAAACUGACUAACCCCCACCCCCCCAACCUACACCAGUACACAAAGAUUUGUCGCUGUCAACACAGAAAGCCACAGGCUUUUAAAGAUGGAUUUGAGCAAGGCAGCACAGUGCAAUAAACAUCCAGCCUUCAAAGUUUGGAACGGGCCAUAUUUAUUUCUCGAUCUAAGCCCUGCUGUGCACACCUGUAAUGGCAGCCUUUGGGAGGUGGGAGGAGGAGGGUGGAGAGAGUUCAAGGCCAACCUCAGCUAUACAGUGUAUUGGAGGCCAGGCUGGACUUCAGAGUGAGACCUUGUCGCAAACAAACUGUCACGUGGUGACAUUGUCGCUUCUGUGUUCCCCUUACUGCUGAGCCAGAGCUUGGCUCAUAGCACACUCAAUAAGAACCUGGGGAGUGGAAUUAAACUGUGGGCAUGUUAGUGUGGUGUUAAUUUGCAAGGCAGUAUUAGAAAUUCCAUUUGGAUGUCUAAAUAAAGCUUUAAAAUUGUU